Thalassophryne amazonica is the source of this 163-nucleotide long non-coding RNA. RefSeq lists it as uncharacterized. Lineage: Eukaryota; Metazoa; Chordata; Actinopteri; Batrachoidiformes; Batrachoididae. The record is from RefSeq and is a predicted model, not a curated record. The transcript is spliced from 3 exons.
AAAGAGACAUGACAUACGACAUAACACAAACAGCACAUCUCCACACACCAUGGGAACAGAAAUCACCAUGGAGACAAAUCAACAAACACUUAGAUGUAUGAUCUUCUUAGCAGUUGUAUUUAUUUUAGAGCUACAGUGCAAUUAAACUGUGUUGUAAAAUGUA